RNAcentral lists this long non-coding RNA (210 nucleotides) under Olea europaea (common olive). RNAcentral's name for it is "long non-coding RNA (OEUR_LNC004957)". The record is from RNAcentral. Lineage: Eukaryota; Viridiplantae; Streptophyta; Magnoliopsida; Lamiales; Oleaceae.
GCCUUCUGGUAACUCAUAACCACCCCAUACUCUCGACGGAUGUCGUUGAUGAUAUCUGUAGGUCUGUAAAUCGUCCGUGGAUCCUGAAACUUGUGCAUUAUCUGUCGACCAAUAAACCAUGAUCGAGCUUGCCUGUGAUCAUUUUGACGAAUACCCACUUCACAAGUAUGUUCCCGCGCAUACUUACGAACAACAAAGAACUCAUUUGUG